GACGAACGCUGGCGGCGUGCCUAAUACAUGCAAGUAGAACGCACAGUUUAUACCGUAGCUUGCUACACCAUAAACUGUGAGUUGCGAACGGGUGAGUAACGCGUAGGUAACCUGCCUGGUAGCGGGGGAUAACUAUUGGAAACGAUAGCUAAUACCGCAUAAUAUUGAUUAUUGCAUGAUAAUUGAUUGAAAGAUGCUAUUGCAUCACUACCAGAUGGACCUGCGUUGUAUUAGCUAGUAGGUGAGGUAACGGCUCACCUAGGCGACGAUACAUAGCCGACCUGAGAGGGUGAUCGGCCACACUGGGACUGAGACACAGCCCAGACUCCUACGGGAGGCAGCAGUAGGGAAUCUUCGGCAAUGGACGAAAGUCUGACCGAGCAACGCUGCGUGAGUGAAGAAGGUUUUCGGAUCGUAAAGCUCUGUUGUAAGAGAAGAACGGGUGUGAGAGUGGAAAGUUCACACUGUGACGGUAUCUUACCAGAAAGGGACGGCUAACUACGUG
RNAcentral lists this ribosomal RNA (505 nucleotides) under uncultured bacterium. Its description in RNAcentral is "partial 16S ribosomal RNA". It matches the Rfam family "Bacterial small subunit ribosomal RNA", at positions 28 to 507 of the family's 1533-position model. The record is from RNAcentral.